This 1208-nucleotide ribosomal RNA is filed under the name Triticum aestivum (bread wheat). RNAcentral's name for it is "partial small subunit ribosomal RNA". Lineage: Eukaryota; Viridiplantae; Streptophyta; Magnoliopsida; Poales; Poaceae. The record is from RNAcentral.
ACUUUUUUUCAAGUAGGUUAAAUCGUUUUCAAGUAAUUUAAGCUUUUUUCAAGUAUCUUCAACUUUUUUUCAAGUACACAAAAAUCUUUUUUAAGUACCUUGAAUUUUUCUUCAAGUAUUUAUUUUUUUUCAAGUAGGUAAAAGUUCUGUAUACAAGUAAUUUAAAGUCUUUUCAAGUAAGUAUAAGUUUUUUCAAGUAGAUAGAUUUUUUUCAAGUAUCUUAAAAAAUUUUUUUAGCAGAUGGCCGCGGAUCUACCCGGCCGGGUAAAUGCCUGCGGUGUCCGCGGUCAAUUGUUUUACGUGUAAUUGACCGCGGGCACCGCGGUUUAUCCUUUGGGGCAAACAUUGCCCGUGACGAUAAACAACGCAAGUCGCUCGUCCCACGACCCGAGCGCAGUUUCCCUAGGGGACUGCCCGGCCGGGUCGUCGUGCCCUCGGUGUCGAACAGAAAGACAAAAAUAAAUGAGAUACAAAGAAUGAACAAAAGACAUCGAUACCAAACGGGACAAACAGCAACAGACCCACGGGGAACACAUGGUAACCGCGGUCUAGUACUUCAGGGACUUCAAAAACUACAACAGGAACUACUCCUAACGAAGUCCUCUUACCGUUAGAAGGAGACGUAGUGAAAGUAAGAGUGGUGAUGACGUUAGGUCUACAGGUCUUAGUUGGUCUUCGAUUGUACUUCUGACUAAUUUCCUUCUCCACCACCCCUAGUAGAAAAUGGAACGUUUAAGUACUUCGUCCAAGAAGAGGUCCCGCAAACCACCUCUUCCUGAAACGUUCCUUCUUUAAAUCGUGUUCUAGAUAUCUCUCAAGUUUUCUCUAUUUGUGUAGAGUCCAAACAAAGCCGCAGGUACCGCCGCCGACUCAGAAACGCCACAGCCCCUACUUUCACCUCCUUCUUCUGGAUCACCGAGACGCGCAAUCCACCUAAGACAUAUCACCCAAACAGAGAAUCGCCCAAGUCCGGGCAAAAUCAAAAACCGACUACUGACUUCCGUCUUUAUAUUUCAGUCUUGAGAAAAAAGUCGGGCAAACUGACGACCGGAAAAAGCUGACUGGUGUUGAAACCCAGUCAAUUAAACAAGACUUAUCAAUACAAAGGAAUGGAAGAUGUUUAGUUGACUGGGGAAAGAACUCAGUCAGCUAACUAGACAUCGGCGAGGGUAUAUUUUAUGGCAUCUUGUUAGCCGAUUUUUUUUUUG